Molecule: non-coding RNA, 4384 nt
Organism: Equus caballus (horse)
Lineage: Eukaryota; Metazoa; Chordata; Mammalia; Perissodactyla; Equidae
Source: RefSeq, a predicted model, not a curated record
CCUAGGAAAGUCGCCCUUGGACAGGCUCGAGGUGGCAAAGCCUCUCCUGUACCCCUCCCUCCCAGGCCUCUUCUCCAGCACAGCAGAACCUGCCUCCACAGAGGGUCAAUAGGAAGCCAGGUCUACAUGUGUCCUGGGCUGAGGGUGGCUCUGACUUCCACGAUGGCCCAGCAGGCCCAGGCUAAUCUCCUAGGUAUGUGUGGAGCCUGCCGCUCCCUUUCUCAGCAGGUGAGCCUCACCUCCUCAGGCCCCGGAGCUUGUCUUGCCCUAAUGUCCUCACCAGGCGUCUGGGGCCUGUGGGUGCCUAAGACCCCAACAGCCUGUACAAGGCCAGGGCUGUGCCGGCCCAGCCUGCUCCUGGGAUAAAGGGAUCUCUCGGUGCUGUCUCCCAGCUUUUCUCACCCCUCGGAGGCCAGAGGCCGGGACAGCUCAGCAUUGUCUGUGCCGCCUGCAGCCGAGCUGAUGAUGGACACUUUCCUGUGACCUGGGACUGCCAGGGUGGCCCACAGCCAAUCCCUGGAAGGGCUUGGGCCCCCGUUCUCUGCUCCUGGGGGGAAGGGAGGGCAAGAGGCCAUCCAGUGUGGAUGUUUCGAGCCUUGAAAAGGAGCAAAUACCUCUUGCUCUAGAAGGGGGUGGGGAGGAGGGGGUGACCUGUAGCCGGAGAAUGAGGCCCAGAGGCAGUUUCUAGCCUCAUCGGAGGUAAACAGGAUAAGGGAUGGACAGGGUGGGGAUCAGCAGGUGUCGGGGAGAGAAGGCUCAGUUCAAAGGCCCACUGCAGGAAAAGUCCCUCAGAAGCCAUCCCAGGGAGGGCACAGAGAAGGGGCCACAAUCCUCCUCCCAUGUGACAGUGACCAGGGCAGAUGUCCAACCACAAGUGUCACAUCCAUGAGGGGUUGGCUGCAGCAGGCCGUGGAGCUGCCUCCCAGGGGUGGGCCCAUGGGAGGGUGGGCAGCAUGCGCAGAGAACACCAGAAGUGGCCACGGCUCAGGGGUAAUUCAGGUGACCGUUUCUGAGCCCAUGCAGCCUGGCCCCAACUCCCACUCGCCCCUCCCCACUAGCAGUAAGGCCUCCUGCCCAUUUCCUUGCAGAACAACUUCUCCCCCUGGCCGGGGACGCCCUGUGGCACCCUCGGGGCCCAGCACAGUGGCUGGCACACAGGAAGUAAGCUGCCGCCCAGGUGCCUUCUCCUUGGACAGCGGAACCAACUCGCAGCUGCCCACUCAGCUGCCCACCAGUGUGGGAGCCUGGGACACGUCUGGAGUUUGCCAGACCAAGGAGCAGGAUCUUCGGAGACUCAGGGUCCCUUCACAGGACCUGGCACGUGCGGGUGGGGAGUGGGACAGGAACCCAGGAGAUGCCAGGACCAGCUGUGAGCACCUGGGCCCUCACAGCCCAGCUCCCUUUCCAAAGAAGCAAGACUUUGGUGGCUGAGAGCAGGGGCGAGGGGUGCUGGUAUGAUGUUGUAAAGAAAGCUGCGGUCAAAACCCCACAGGGCUCAGUGGGCAGAGGGGACCAAGAGAGAUCUGAAUGGAUGAAGAGACAGGGCCGGACCCAGUAGGUCUAGUGAAGGGUCCAGAGAAUGUGGGAGAGGUGAGGAGGAAGUCUUUCAAGGGAGGCCCCUGACACACUUACAGUCCCGCAGUCUGGUUAUGCCAGGUGGCCACAGACCCCAGCCUCCAGACCUCCAGCACAGUCUCCUGCACCAGCCUGGCCCCCUAAGAGGAAGCGAUCCCGUAACACCAUUCACCGAGCCUUCCCUGCCCGAGGCGUGUGCCGAGCCCUGUCCACGCGUCAUCCCAUCCUCCACAGCUCGGUAGGGUGGGUGCCGCAUUAUCGCCCCACUGUCCAGUGAGGGGAGGUGAUCUGCUCCGGGCCGCACGGUGAGGAGGGAGUGGAGGCAGUAUCUGAGCCUGGGUCGGGUAGCAGGGCUGGGGCCUGCACAUUUCCCCUGCAGACCCACCCUGCAGAGAGCAGGGGACAGCACACAGGGGAGAGGCCUGGCUGGGUGAGGCAAAGAGAGGCAGCACCAUUGUAAAUAUUGAGCCCUGGCAAGCAAGUCACACACCUGCUCCCAGGUGACCGCCCUACACCCAGUUUGCAUUUCUGCAUAGUGCAGGGCCCCACCCGAGGGCAACACAAGCCAGAAGGCAGGAAGCCUUGGUCAUCUCACAAAGAGCUCCCGAGCACACACCAGGGUUAAUGGUCACAGUCACCCAGGCCAUGCUACAGGCAGAAGCUGGGAAUCAGAGAGUGAACCACUUGUUUAAGACCACACGGCAGGGACAGGGCAGGCCAGGGCCGCUCAGGAGAUCCACAGCAGAGUGACAGGGCCUGCCUGCAGGGAGCCACGUCCAGUGGAGACCCCAGGCCCACAGAGGCGGCCCCACCUCUCUCCAUCCUCCUGGAACGCUUGCAUGCCAGACUCUCGUAGGGCGGCCUGGUGGUAGCCUCCCUGCCCCAUCUCUCCUGGUUGGAGCUUGGGGUCAUAGGGAGCUUCUGGAGACAUGCAACCCAGGAAACCCCCAGCCCUGUCAUUUGGCAUCUCCCUCCCUUCCCAGCCUCCUCCUGACACACUGCCUGAGCUCCCCAGGCCACUCUACCUAACUUCAACCCCACUCCAAAUAUAGCCUCUCCAAGAGGCUUUCACUGGUCCCCGUCUCCACCACUGGUAACUCAACAGCCAUUUGUGGAGCCGCUGCUCCAUGGUAGGGGCUGGAGAUAAAGCCCAGAAGAGAACACUCAGGCCUGGGCAGGGGUUGGCCCUCAGGAUGCUCCCUGUGGUACUGUCUGUAGUAACAAGAGAGGGGGACUUGAAUGUCCUUCCCCAGGAAUGGCCCAAAUGCUGGCUCUGGAGUCAGACAGACCCUCAUGGUCGCUUGUGGUCUGGGCAAGUUACUUCCGCCUCUGCAGGAAAGGCACAGUCAUAGCUCUGAGCUCACAGGGUGGGAGUCACCCUGUCACCAGCUCAGGGUUGAGCACAGAGCAGGCUCAGGAAUGGGGCCUCCAGUUAUUGGGAUGACUGGACAACCUUUAAAGAUGGCACAUCAUUGAUGGGGGAGAGGUAAAUGACACUAUGUGGGAAAAACAGUAGCUGCAACAUUACACUGUCCACCCCCUUUUUUUCUUUAAGGAAAUGAGACUGAUGAUAUGCACAUUAAAGACUGAGAAGAAUAUGCCCCAAACAUUGGUAUUGAUUUUCAUUUUUUUUGCCCCUCUGUUUUUUCUAAAUUUUCUACAAUGACUGUAAUACUUGUGAAAUAAGGCGGAAAAUAAGAUCCACUUCUACGAAGACACACUGCCUGCCCUCAGACAGCUCGCACCUGUCUCUCAGACUACAGGUCCCCCAAAGCAGGGCCGGGCUCAUCAUCCACGCACGCAAGUGACGGCGGCUAAGCAUUUGCACGACAAAACUGAGGACAAGCCUGAAAGAAGCCAAGCCUUAAGCCAGGACCCUCAACACCUUUGUCCGGCCUCGUGACAUAGCGAUGGGCACUGGAGAGGCAGCUCCAGACCUUAUGGUCUGCGGGCAGGAAGUGCUGACACCAUGUCCCUGGAGGGAGGGAACUCUGAGGUCCAGGGGUCUCACAGGCCCAAGGUUGGAGGAGCCAUCUCUCAGAGGCACAAGCAAGAGGCCCUGAGAUGCCCCAGGACGCCACACAGCUCCUGCCCAGAAACCCCCAAGGACCCUGCAGGAAGACGGAAGCAGGACCCUGGGCUCUCCCCUGAUGCUGGUUUCCUGUCUACCCAGGAGUUUCCUCCCAUGGGAUGGGACCUGAGCGAUGCGCCCCAGGUGAAGGAGCACUGGGUGAGCAGUGCUCCCCGGCCAAGCACCCACUGCUGUGAUGUCAGGGAGCCAGGAACAGGACCCGUAAAAGAGAUCUGUGAAGUGAGGUCCCGCAGGCUGUGCAUGGAGGGCUUGGGGACAAGCGCACCACAUUGUUUCAGAGCAAGCACACUCCCACUCCUGGUAAACCUCAGAGACAAGCUCCCGGGAGUGAGAGCUGGCCUGCGGAAAAUUCAUUCCUGGUCUCAGCCGUCGGACCUACCCUGCCAAGGCCCAGCCUUCAUCUGCCUCUGCUAAAACUUGAAAAAGGAGGAGGAGGAAGAGGAGGGUCCCAAAGCAUCCACCAACAUGUGUGAAUCUGUCCAAACUGCUUGGCUUCUUGAAAUGCUUCUGGACUGCAUCCCUGGCCAGCAGGGUGGGAUGCUUCCCAGCACAGCCUUGGGAGUCCCCACACUUUCUGGCUAAGGGAAAAGAUUCAGGUGCCGAGACUGGGGGGUGUCCUCAGGAACAAAGAACCCAACUUGUCCCCAGCAAGGGGUGGGCCUACAUCCCCUCCAGAUGGUGUGCUCGGGGUAGGUCUCAAUAAACAUUUGUUCCUUU